UACAGAGGGUGCAAGCGUUAAUCGGAAUUACUGGGCGUAAAGCGCACGUAGGUGGAUGAUUGAGUCUGAUGUGAAAUCCCUAGGCUUAACCUAGGAAUGGCGUUAGAAACGAAUGGUCUAGAGUCGGACAGAGGGACGUGGAAUUUCCGGUGUAGCGGUGAAAUGCGUAGAGAUCGGAAAGAACACCAGUGGCGAAGGCGACGUCCUGGGUCCAGACUGACACUGAGGGGCGAAAGCGUGGGGAGCAAACAGG
RNAcentral lists this ribosomal RNA (253 nucleotides) under uncultured bacterium. Its description in RNAcentral is "partial 16S ribosomal RNA". It matches the Rfam family "Bacterial small subunit ribosomal RNA", at positions 524 to 776 of the family's 1533-position model. The record is from RNAcentral.